GGCGCCUGUAAUCCCAGUAAUCGAGAGGCUGAGGCAGGAGAAUCGCUUGAACCCAGGAGGCGCAGGUUGCAGUGAGGCAAGAUCAUGCCACUGCACUCCAGCAUGGGCAACAGAGCGAGACUCAGUCUUAAAAAAAAAAAAUUCUAACAGUACAAUGUAAUCCCUAAAAGUAAGGUUAAUCACUUUAAAGUCAGAGGCAAGACAAGUAUGUCCACUAUCUGCUUCUAUUGGAGUUGCAUUAGAGGUCCUUGCUUGUGCAGUUACAUGCAGACAAUAAAUUUAAAAAUACAAACACUGGAACAGAAAAAACAACCAAAGAGUCAUUUUCUACAGAAGAUAUAAUUAUCUAUAAAGAAAACCCAAAAUAAUUAACAGAGAUAUUAUUAGAAUUAAUAAGAGAGUUUAGCAAUUUGGCUAAAAAUAAGAUCAAACAUUUACAUUUUACACCAAUAACAAUAAAGAAAGUAUAGUUAACAAAUAGAUAACAUUUAAAAUAACAACAGAAAUAUACAGUAUCUAAAAAUUUAAUAAAAGAUGUAGAUCAUUGUGGAUAUAAUUUUACAACUUUACUGAAUAACAUCAAAGAAGUCAUAACUAUGUGAAGAGAUGUACCAUGUUCAGGGGUAGGAAGGUUCACUAUCCUAAAAGGUAUAAUUCUUUCCAAAUGUAAUAAAAGAUUCCAAUUUCAUGAGGGUUGUUUUGUUUUGAAAAAUCUUGCCCAAAUAAUUCUAAAAUGUAUAUAAAAAGGCAACAAGGCAAAUACUACUGAAAAAGAUUAAUAGUUUGUGAGAACUUGCCUUAUAAUAACAAUUUAAUGCCACAGCAAUUAAAACAUUGUUGUAUUAUUACAAGGAUAGAUAAAAACACCAAUGAACUUGAACAGAGAGGCCAGACAGUUGGUUUAUGAUGUGGCUGGCAACACAAAUCUCUGGGAAAAGAGAUCCUCUUCAAAAACAUGCUCUAGGACAACUGUUCAGCGAUAUGUGGGGGAAACAAUAUUUGAACCCUACCUCACACCAUUCACAAAAAAGAAAUUCUGUAUGUGUUAAAUAUGAAAGGCAAUUUUAAAGCUUUUAAAAAUAUAGGGGAAAUAUCUUUAUAUCUUAAGAAUUUGGAAAGAAUUUUUAAAAGACACAAACAAACCAUAAAAGAAUUAAUAGAUACAUUUCAUCACAUUAAAAUAUAAACUUUUAUCAUCAAGAAAUAUAAAGAGUGGAAGACAAGCUCCAAACUAGGGGAAAAUAUUUACAACAUAUGUAACUGACAAGGUAUCUAGAAUGUGUCCAGAAAUCCUAAACGUCAAAAGAAAAAAGACAAAUGAUUGUGUAGAAAAAUGAACAGAAGACAUGAAUAGGUCUUUCACAUAGUGGGAUAUUAAAAUGCUCUAAAAACACAUUUUACAGCAUUCAACUCAGCUAGUAAUUAGGGAAAUGCAAAGCAAGAUCACAAUGACAUUCUAUUUUAUAUUCACUAGAUAGGCAAAAUAAAAACGUCUUUCACCAUGAAGUUUUGGAGAGAAUAUGGAGCAACAGAAAGUGUUCCAACACUGCUGGUGGGUGUGUUAAAACUUUGCAAAGCAAUUUGACGUUACCUUGUACACCUGAACAUGUGCACACCCCGAGAAUGUGCAAGCCCAUUACACGGUGAUGCAUGCUCAAGCAUGAUUGUAAACGGCAAGUACUAGCAAUGCUACAAAUAUCUCUAGUAUCCAUCAACAGAAAAACAGAUACACAAACGAAUGUAGCACAGGGACAAAUGUUAGAAACCUUUGUUGAAUGAUACCAGCAUAUCUGAAAUGACUACACGGAUUGUGAUACCGUUAUAUAAACUUGAAAAAAAAGCAGUAUAGUACUUCAGGAAACAUAUGCAUUUUUAAAACUUUUAUAAAACAAGAAAUGAUUUUUAAAAGUUAUAGUAGUUACAUUGGAAGGAUAUACAGGAGCACGUGGGAGACCAUACAAGGAGCUUCAUCAGUAUUAGUAAUAAUCCCAUUCUUAACUUUAGUGAACAGUUUGUGAGUCUUAGCUUUUAAAUUAUUUGUAUAACUUUCAUAUGAUUUUAUAUAUAUAGUUUAUAUAUAUAUAAACUUUUUUAAAGAAGAAGGCUAUGUUAUGCAGUAUAAAUAUACUAUAUGUGUGUACAUAUGUGUAUAUAUAUAUACACAUACACACAUAUGUAUAUAUGUAUAUGUACACAUAUAUAUACACACACACAUACACACAAGCCACUGAAAAUAGAGCCUUUUUUUCCUUAAACAGAAUAUCGAAGAGAAACAUUGCAUUAACUAUAAUUAGUUACAUGCCUGCCUUCUUGGAACACAUUAGGAGUCCAGGCUUUAUUUAAAAAUGUAUUCAUUUAUAUAAAUUCCUGUCUGUCUAUAUUGGUUUUCUAGGACUGCCAUAACAAAUUACUGCAAACUUGGUGGCUUAAAACAACAGAAAUUUAUUCCCUCCCAGUUCUGAAGGCCAGAAGUCUGAAGUAAAGAUGGUAUUGAGUUUGCGCUCCCUCCAAAGGCUCUAAGUGAGAUUCUGUCCCUCCCUUUCCAGUUUCUGGUGGCUCUCAGGAUUCCUGGGCUUAUGGCUGCAUCACUCCAAUCUCUGCCUCCAUCUUCACCCCACCCUCUUCUCUGGGUCUCUCUAGUUUCUUUCUGCCUUUAUCCUAUAAUGACAAAAUUGGAUUUACAGGGCUCAUCCAGAUAGUCUGGAAUGAUCUCAUUUCAAUGUCUUUAACUUAAUUACCUCUGAAAUGACCCUAUUUCCAAAUAAGGUCAUAGUUACAAGUUCCAAGUGGACAUAUUCUGGGAGGAGGAGCACCCUUCAAGCCACAUCACCUUAUGCUGCAUUUGUUAGGAAGCAUAUAGAAUUAACUGAAUUUGAUGAGCAACUGAAGUGUUCUGAGAUGGCAAUGGGAUAAUAGAGAGCGAUGGGAAAGCCUGAAGAUGAAAGGAAGGUUCCAGGAACAAUGUCAAGAAGAUAGAAGCGGGUUCAAGAGGAAGUUUGUUUGCAGGGCAUGGCCAGUGGGAAGUUGGCUAUAAGAGUAAUGUUGGAAUCAAAGCAGAAAGCUCUAGGAGUGCAUAUCAAACCACCUCCAGUGUGAGUCAAGCCAGAGACCUAACUAAUCUAAUGCACUGAAAUGAAUUCUGAGGUAUUGAAUUUGCAUUAACUGUAAUUGACCCAUCCUGGAAAUUCUUCGCCCUUUACAAAAAGGUCUGGUUUUAUCCUUUUCCUCCAUGACCAAACCAAUUUCAAUGGGGGCAUGGUGACUCUCUCGAGGUUACUCUCGGGACUUCUGGUACAUUGCUGAAAUGUAAAUGGCUCCAGCUAUGCUUUCACACAUAGCUUCUGAAGAUCUGAUUAAUCUCUUUUAAACGGACAUGGAAUUGUAUUUGUCUACACCAGAUGAGAGAGGUCAUCACUUUUACAACCAUAUGGCUGGGCACUGCCUUAAAUCCUAACACCUUUUGUCACUACCGUUGUUUUGCACUUUAUCUGUUCUCUUUUGCCUUUUGAUUUCCACCUAAUUCCUCCAUAGUUUGGGAAAUAGGUUCAAAUUGAGGAUAGCUUAAAAUAAUUGAGGCUAUAAUGUUUGAUCUAGAAGGUGCAUUAGAAAAUAUUUAUGUAAGUUUUCUCAUUUUUGCAAAGGUCAAGAGGUUAGGUGGCUGCAUGGAUGGCAGGAGCAGUGGUAGAGAUUGGAGCAGAACUCAGCUGUCUUGGGUGAUCUUUGCACUUAAGAGGCCAUGUAUCUUCUUGGAUAUGAAUCAUACAAUUUCUGGACAUUUAGUAGGCCUUCAGAAGGAAAUGUUGGGUUAGUAGUUGUUCAACAUGGAAUUGCUAUGUAAGAUAUUUGAUCAGUAAGAAACUAGAUUCCUCUGUGAAACUGACAAAAAGUAGAAAGCAAUCUGAUUUAUAGGUCACCAUUUUCCCUUUGUUCCUUUGGACUUGAGAAUUGUGAAACACAGCCCAAGUAUGUAGAAAGAACCCAGGUAAAAAUGGGCUCUUUGCCCAUUUUAAAAUUUGCCCAUGCAAAUACACAAGCGAUAGAUUUGAUUUUGAUGGGAAAAUCUGGUCACAUUUCCCCUUUCAUCUUGGCUACCCUGCCACCGCAGAAAGCUCUGCCCUCAUGACUGCAGUGCAUUUGCUUAUGCAAAGUUGGUAUUAAAAAUCUGGUUCAUCAAAAGAGGAAAAAGAUGAUUGUCACAAGGGGAAGGCUUCUCAGAACUGAAGACAAGCUGCUCCUUUCCAACUGAAAAUGUCAAACAGUUAUUCAUACGGUUCUUACCAGACUUGAUUUAUGUGAGCAACUGCCAAUCCUUAACCUCCCCCUCAUGCAAGUGCAAAUGGAAAGCCUGUUCGUUCAGCCAUUAAUAUCGUGUUAGUUUUGUUUGAUAUCCUGAAUAGAAAAUCAUUUCUUCCCUCUAUGUAGGAGUUAUUGAUUUACCCUGAUGUUCACUUUAAAAUCUCUUAGUUUCUAAAUAUGCUUGUUGUUUACCUGCAGUGUUGUAAAAAAUAUGAUUAUUUUCUUUAUGGUUUUCUAGAAGUUUGGCUUUAAAAAAUAAACAUUGCAUGCAAACUGACUUGUAAUUUGAAUUCAUAUUUUCCAAGCCCAGUGAAAAUUACACUCCUUAUGGAAAGAGAAAAAAAA
Molecule: long non-coding RNA, 4641 nt
Filed under: Homo sapiens (human)
Lineage: Eukaryota; Metazoa; Chordata; Mammalia; Primates; Hominidae
Description: HSALNT0205619
Source: RNAcentral